RNAcentral lists this microRNA precursor (76 nucleotides) under Tursiops truncatus (common bottlenose dolphin). Its description in RNAcentral is "miRNA (ENSTTRG00000024537.1)". Lineage: Eukaryota; Metazoa; Chordata; Mammalia; Artiodactyla; Delphinidae. The record is from RNAcentral.
GACCAACUGUCCUGGUUUGCCUGGGACUGUGGGGUUUCCCAGGAUGUGGGACUUUCAGUGCUGAAACCAGGAAAGU